This 243-nucleotide unclassified non-coding RNA is filed under the name uncultured Cortinarius. RNAcentral's name for it is "sequence contains ITS1". The record is from RNAcentral. Lineage: Eukaryota; Fungi; Basidiomycota; Agaricomycetes; Agaricales; Cortinariaceae.
UUGAAAAUAAAACUGAUGAGUUGCUGCUGGCUUUUCUAAGGAGCAUGUGCACACUUGUCAUCUUUAUAUCUCCACCUGUGCACCUAUUGUAGACCUGGACAACUUUCUUAAUGUGCUAGCAUUCAGGUAUGAGGAUUGACUCUUCUGGCUAUCCUUGCAUCUUCAGGUCUAUGUUCUUUCAUAUAAUCUCAAAUGUUAUGGAAUGUAAAUGCUUAAGGGCUUCUGUGCCCUAUAAACCUUAUA